This 305-nucleotide ribosomal RNA is filed under the name uncultured bacterium. Its description in RNAcentral is "bacterial SSU rRNA". It matches the Rfam family "Bacterial small subunit ribosomal RNA", at positions 333 to 655 of the family's 1533-position model. The record is from RNAcentral.
UGUGCCCUACGGGACGCAGCAGUGGGGAAUAUUGCACAAUGGGGGAAACCCUGAUGCAGCGACGCCGCGUGAGUGAAGAAGUAUUUCGGUAUGUAAAGCUCUAUCAGCAGGGAAGAUAAUGACGGUACCUGAGUAAGAAGCCCCGGCUAACUACGUGCCAGCAGCCGCGGUAAUACGUAGGGGGCAAGCGUUAUCCGGAUUUACUGGGUGUAAAGGGAGCGUAGCCGGCAUGGCAAGUCUGAAGUGAAAGCCCGUGGCUCAACCGCGGGACUGCUUUGGAAACUGUUAAGCUGGAGUGCAGGAGG